Long non-coding RNA from Juglans microcarpa x Juglans regia, 454 nucleotides. RefSeq lists it as uncharacterized. The transcript is spliced from 3 exons. The record is from RefSeq and is a predicted model, not a curated record. Lineage: Eukaryota; Viridiplantae; Streptophyta; Magnoliopsida; Fagales; Juglandaceae.
UCUUCCUCCAUAUUGCAGAUUGGACAAGAAGCACUUGACACAACCUGUUUCCUCAAAAGGCUGUUUUUUGUAGGUAAGAUAGCAUUAAGGACUCUCCACAUGAAUUCUUUGAUCUUUCCAGCAACUCCAAGAUUUGACGAACUUUCUGAUACUUCUGGCAUAAACAAAUGGACAUGUAAAUGUUCUUAUACAUAUCAAGGAAAUCAUAGUUAUGCUGUUAAAUCGAACUGUUCCACAUCCUGUAAUUGCAUUCCAGGGAUUUCUUGAUUUACGACUGAACCCUAUAAGGUAGUGAAACGAUGUGAACUGUUCUGUAACUAAAAUACUUGCCAAUAUAGAAGAAACGUAGAGAAAAAGUUACUGGAAAAAAAAAUCGAUGCAGCUCUGACAAAAACUUUUGGUAAUAUGAUUUGUGUUACUUUUACACACCCCUCUUCCUUCUAUUUGCUUCUCU